AUACGUAGGGGGCGAGCGUUGUCCGGAAUGAUUGGGCGUAAAGGGCGCGUAGGCGGCGCGGUAAGUCUGGAGUGAAAGUCCUGCUUUCGAGGUGGGAAUUGCUUUGGAUACUGCCGCGCUUGAGUGCAGGAGAGGUUAUCGGAAUUCCCGGCGUAGCGGUGAAAUGCGUAGAGAUCGGGAGGAACACCAGUGGCGAAGGCGGGUAACUGGACUGCAACUGACGCUGAGGCGCGAAAGUGUGGGGAGCAAACAGGAUUAGAUACCCUGGUAGUCCACACUGUAAACGAUGAAUGCUAGGUGUAAGAGGUAUCGACCCCUUUUGUGCCGGAGUCAACACAAUAAGCAUUCCGCCUGGGGAGUACGGCCGCAAGGUUGAAACUCAAAGGAAUUGACGGGG
RNAcentral lists this ribosomal RNA (397 nucleotides) under uncultured bacterium. RNAcentral describes it as "partial 16S ribosomal RNA". It matches the Rfam family "Bacterial small subunit ribosomal RNA", at positions 523 to 918 of the family's 1533-position model. The record is from RNAcentral.